RNAcentral lists this ribosomal RNA (279 nucleotides) under uncultured bacterium. RNAcentral describes it as "partial 16S ribosomal RNA". It matches the Rfam family "Bacterial small subunit ribosomal RNA", at positions 524 to 794 of the family's 1533-position model. The record is from RNAcentral.
UACGGAGGGGCGUAGCGUUGCUCGGAAUUAACUGGGCGGUAAAGGGACGCGUAGGCGGACAGUUUAGUCAGAGGUGAAAGACCCCACGGGCGUCAACCUUGGAAUAAGCCUUUGAUACUGACUGUCUUGAGUACGGGAGAGGUGUGUGGAACUCCGAGUGUAGAGGUGAAAUUCGUAGAUAUUCGGAAGAACACCAGUGGCGAAGGCGACACACUGGCCCGUUACUGACGCUGAGGCGCGAAAGCGUGGGGAGCAAACAGGAUUAGAUACCCGCGUAGU